Molecule: transfer RNA, 71 nt
Filed under: Marmota monax (woodchuck)
Lineage: Eukaryota; Metazoa; Chordata; Mammalia; Rodentia; Sciuridae
Description: tRNA.Gly
Rfam family: tRNA
About the family: Transfer RNA (tRNA) molecules are approximately 80 nucleotides in length. Their secondary structure includes four short double-helical elements and three loops (D, anti-codon, and T loops).
Source: RNAcentral
GGGGUUGUGGCUCAGUGGUAGAGUGCUUACCUCCCAUGUGUGAGGCCCUGGGUUCAAUCCUCAGCACCACA